Long non-coding RNA from Chelonia mydas (Green sea turtle), 509 nucleotides. RefSeq lists it as uncharacterized. Lineage: Eukaryota; Metazoa; Chordata; Testudines; Cheloniidae. The transcript has 2 exons. The record is from RefSeq and is a predicted model, not a curated record.
GAAGGACUGGAGCUUGGAGGCGUGUUGAGAAAUUUGGAAGACCUGCAUUCUGAAGUAAGGGAGACUUCCUUCCCCAUAGCAUUUAAGGACUGAGGCAGGCCCUUCGACCUCUGCUGGACAGAAAAAAGGAACUAACAUCCUGGGGGAGCACACUGUCACCAGCGUACAAGGAGGGAGAGAGAGUCAGGAAUCAAGUGACGCUGGACAUUUUUGGUAAAGCUGAUGGAGCAGCUUUCUUAUGAAAGGGAGAAGAAAAACAGAGAGCCUGACCAGCCUGAGACAAGUUUGGUAGCCCAGUUACUGGAGCAAGAAUAGAGACUGAGGGAAGAAGACAGCAUGCAGCAGCAGGAAUUGUUUCAGAGGUUGUUCAAUCUCAUGGCAACCAGGCUGCAGGCUCUAUCGUGAGCUGCAGCACCAGCUCUAUACUCCAAGUCCGCUCUCCACUAUCAUGUCCUAUAGCCUAUGCAGCCUUUUGGCAGUUCUGGAAUUGGCUGGUCCAUAGCCCAGGC